GGAACAGUUACUGAAGAAGGAGUAGACUGCAAGAGCCAAGCUGAUGUUCAUCGCAGUUUUAAUGUGCCGCUUCCCAUCUCCCACCCACACCUCAUAUCUGGCAUCUGGUGGUAUGAAAAAAAAUCAUAGUAACUGACAAAACAGUAAAAUGGUUC
Amblyraja radiata (thorny skate) is the source of this 155-nucleotide long non-coding RNA. RefSeq lists it as uncharacterized. The transcript has 3 exons. Lineage: Eukaryota; Metazoa; Chordata; Chondrichthyes; Rajiformes; Rajidae. The record is from RefSeq and is a predicted model, not a curated record.